UACGUAUGGAGCAAGCGUUAUCCGGAUUUACUGGGCGUAAAGGGAACGCAGGCGGUCUUUUAAGUCUGAUGUGAAAGCCUUCGGCUUAACCGGAGUAGUGCAUUGGAAACUGGGAGACUUGAGUGCAGAAGAGGAGAGUGGAACUCCAUGUGUAGCGGUGAAAUGCGUAGAUAUAUGGAAGAACACCAGUGGCGAAAGCGGCUCUCUGGUCUGUAACUGACGCUGAGGUUCGAAAGCGUGGGUAGCAAACAGG
Molecule: ribosomal RNA, 253 nt
Filed under: uncultured bacterium
Lineage: Bacteria
Description: partial 16S ribosomal RNA
Rfam family: Bacterial small subunit ribosomal RNA
Source: RNAcentral